Molecule: ribosomal RNA, 369 nt
Filed under: uncultured bacterium
Lineage: Bacteria
Description: bacterial SSU rRNA
Rfam family: Bacterial small subunit ribosomal RNA
Source: RNAcentral
GGAGGGUGCAAGCGUUAUCCGGAUUCACUGGGUUUAAAGGGUGCGUAGGUGGGUUGGUAAGUCAGUGGUGAAAUCCCCGAGCUUAACUUGGGAACUGCCAUUGAUACUAUCAGUCUUGAAUACCGUGGAGGUCAGCGGAAUAUGUCAUGUAGCGGUGAAAUGCUUAGAUAUGACAUAGAACACCAAUUGCGAAGGCAGCUGGCUACACGAGUAUUGACACUGAGGCACGAAAGCGUGGGGAUCAAACAGGAUUAGAUACCCUGGUAGUCCACGCCCUAAACUAUGGAUACUCGACAUUUGCGAUACACUGCAAGUGUCUGAGCGAAAGCAUUAAGUAUCCCACCUGGGAAGUACGAUCGCAAGAUUGAA